ACUUUAAGUGCCGGAGAGCUAAGGCCUCACUUAUAUGCACCCAGAUGCCCCCGAGAUCUCCAUUUUCCCCAAAUGCAUAAAAGGCUAAAAACGGCCACAUUCCCCAGCACCACGGCGUGGCUGCAGCUCCUUUGUUUACCAUAUAAGUCACACCGGGGGUUCACUCCUCGCCCUCUCCCCUGCUUUAAAGCCGAGUGCGGCGGAAGACUGAGGAGCACCCCCAAACUCCUGCUCAGCCCGAGUCAAGCACCGAAAGCUUCACAGGUUUUUUUCCUGAGCCUUGAAGAGAAACCACAUAGCCAGAACCUUUUGAACUCCUAACCCCGCAGGGAUGUCCGCCUCCCAGAAGAGAGCCGGCUUCCCAGGCAGCUUAGGAAACUUAACCGAGAUCCCAGAAAGAAGGCGAGGUGUAGCUCCGGUCGAACGGAGCCCCGAGGCGACAUCCUCUUUACCUGCAAAGUUGCAAUCUUCGGGCUGAAGUGAUGGGAUCCGAGGACUGACGGCGCGGGUGCCGUGCGGGGUGAGAGCACGCCCGGCAAAUUCCAAUGGAAUUCCCUUAGUCGCUGCUGAGUUUUGGAGCAUUCCAAGGAAAACGAUCGAAGCUGGAGCCCACGCAGCUGGCACCGAACUGGGCGGAGUGAGGAUGCUCUGAAAGCGAAGCCAUGGGAGGCGGGGGAGGGGCGGCCCGGGAGGGGGAGGUAACCGCCAGGGGAGGAGAACCUCUCCCACCCCCGCCUGCACAGAUCCCUCUGGAUAAAGUUAAGAGUUCCCACGGCUGACAGCGGAUGAGCCCAGAGAAAGGCACCCCGCCCUCCGUCCCUGGUGGCUGCCGGGCUCGGGGUCCGCACAGACCGCGCUGGAAAGGGAUAGUCCGGGAAGAUGCGCGUCCCACGCACCACACUGCUUGGAGGUGGAGGAGACCCGCGCGCUGGCAGGAGCUGACGCUGCGUCCCCAGCUUGUCCCCCUCGAAUAGCCUCCACCUACCGGGGCCAACUGCUUGAGGUCAGCCAGUGGGCAGGGGAGCUCACCACCAGCCAGCCGUCAUCCAGCCAAGUCGGUGGCGAGAAUCCACCCUGUGGUUCUGGAUGCAAGCCAGACACACCUCCAGGCUUAGGGCGGUCUCUGCAGGCGUGUUGGACUUCAGUGCGCUCCGACACCCAGCUUUUGAAUGCCCUGCUCCCAGCCCGGUAAACAAGCACCCAUGAGGCCCGCCGCCCGACCGGAAAAAAGUAGUCCCCUGCAACUCUCAAAGCUUCUCCCACUCCCGCUUCUCUGGGCGACUGGCACCCCCUCUCCUGUCCUCAAGGUGUCAGACUUCCCUUGCAAGAGCUGGAGGAUGCGGCUUGCCACUAGUGUCAACAAUCAAAACAGUCGCAAUGAAUAAAUGAUGAGCCACAGCGUUCCAACCACCCUCAUCCAGCUUGGUCUUUCCAAAAGGCAUAGGAAAUCAGCAAGUUUCCACCAAAUAUACCAAAACCCUAAGACGCGAGCCAGCCCAAGGGUGCAAGGUUCUGCGGCUGCAGGUGCCUAUGAAACUGCAAUAAAUACAUAACAGAAGAGAACACCAAGGAGAGCACUAUAUAUGUCAACCAUCUGAGCAGGCUGUAUUCCCACGGAAAGAAGAAUUUGUAUUGAUCACUGAGCCUCCUUUUCAACAGUUUCAUGUGAUUAUUGAUUGCUGGUCUCAGGUCUCCUACAAAAUGAUUAGCAAUUACAGGAAAAUUAUUUGAAAUCUGUUUAAACAAUCUGGUGAAUUGCAUAUACUACAGUCAUUAGCAAUCCAAAGAGUUUAUUUUUAACAAUUUAAACAUAUGAGUUUGGCAGCAUUCUACGAACCUGCACUCCACAUAAAAUGCAAUUCAUUGAAGUCAAAGAAAUUUACAAUAAAAUGUUAUAUGCUAUCUAGAAUUUAUUUUAGUACCUUAUUAAACAGAACAAGAAAGCACUCAUGUUUCCAAAUUAGCAAGAGACAAGUGACCCAAGAAAUGAUAGCAGUAAAACAAUUCUCUGUAAUGUCUAUUUAUAGCUAAAGUAUAUUGUAGAAUUGGGAUCACAAUUGUUUUAGGAAUACAAUUUUCACUUUACUCCUAAAGGUUAUUGUUCUGUUUAGGAGCUGACAUGUAACAUGUAUGAAACACUGUUUCAAAGCUGUUAUACCUCAGACAUAGAGACAAAGUCACAGAGACAAGUAUUUGGAGAAUUUAUUCAUGCACAUGUGUCACCAUCAGCAUUUUUAUGUGCCAGUAAUGCAUCUGUGUAUGAUGCCAUCAUGAAGUAUAUGAUAUUGGCCUUUCUGAUGCUAAGAUAAAUUAAGAAAUAGGUUAUCAUUGUCUUUGAUGCCCAUGUGACCUGUCUUCCACCUUUGUGACCAGGCCUUUACCUCCUACUGCACAAGGGCUCACCCAAACUCACUGAAGGGGCUCCACCUCAGCUUAACUUUUGGAUUUGGCUCCUGCUCCAGGUUUUAGAAUCCUCUGUUCUGUCAUCAAUGUAAUGAGGCUUCAAUCUAACCUACAUGGCCAUGCUAUACACACAGCUUUUACCUGCCUAUUUUUUAAAAAAAUUAACAUUUUCUAAGUUAUCAAAAUGUUAUUCAAAAAUGUUAAUUUUAAUGAAUCACUACUUAUUUCUAUGAAAUACUUAAGUAUUUUUCAGGUCUUGAAAGUGUAAUUGUUUUUAUACUAUUAUUCCCUACUGGUAUACUUUUGUUGAAAGCCGUUACACAAGCAUUUUUGUCUGUAUCUCUAAUUAUGUCCUCAGAAUAGAUUCCUAGUAAUACAGCCCUGUGUCAUGAUGCAGAAAUAUUUUAAAGUACAUGCUGUAUGUUAUAAGGGAGCUUGUUGCAUUGAACCCUCAUCAAUACGGGGCAUCCUUAAGGUCCUUUUUCUUCUUUUCUUUUUUUAUUUUGACUGAUUUCCUACUUGAAAGAAAAUGGUAUCUCAAUGAGUUGUGUUAACUAGAAACGGUGACUUUUAUAUUUUGUGUACUUUGCUACUUGUUUCUUUUUGUGAGUUUACAUACUUUUUCAAUACUUACGGGGUUUUGUUGCUAUUCCCCCAUUUGGUUUAUAAUAACUCUUAAUAUUUGAACAUUAGUACAUUCCCAUAUUUAUGGAAGAUAUUUCUCAGUUUUUAAUUCUUUGUUAAAUUUGGAGGUAAUGUUAUUUAUUUUAAAGAUGUUUCAUUCUUACAAACAUUAAACUAUCAAAUUUUCCCUGA
Molecule: long non-coding RNA, 3219 nt
Organism: Homo sapiens (human)
Lineage: Eukaryota; Metazoa; Chordata; Mammalia; Primates; Hominidae
Exons: 2
Source: RefSeq, a predicted model, not a curated record